Molecule: long non-coding RNA, 2734 nt
Filed under: Lathyrus oleraceus (garden pea)
Lineage: Eukaryota; Viridiplantae; Streptophyta; Magnoliopsida; Fabales; Fabaceae
Description: Pisum sativum (pea) long non-coding RNA (PSAT_LNC041426)
Source: RNAcentral
UUUGUGUGUUGUUGGAACUUGGAAUGAAGUAGCAGGAGGUUUUGUUCUUUUGAAGGGAAGAAGAAAUGGUAUAUGGUAGAGAAUGAGGGACUUGGAUAUGAGAGAAAGAAAGAGUAUAACGUUGAAGAUGGAGUGGGGUGAAGGAAGAUUUUAUGAAGUUACAGCGGAGAGAGUUAUGUAAUGUGAGUGUGUAUGUGCCUCCACAAUGAAAACUCUUUUAUUUUUUUCUUUCAAAGCUCUGAGCUUCUUCUUUUUCUUGUUGCAGCAGAGAGAGGGACGUGAGGGAUAUCUUUUGUGUUUUUGUCCGUUAGAGUCUUUAUUAUUUUUCUUUUUGUCCUUUUUGGCUCAGAGAGAGACGUUGGAGUGUGAGAGAGUUUUCGUUUCUCUCCUUUCUGACCGUUGGCGAGUCCAAAAGAAGAAGAGAUAUUUUCAAUUUUCUUUAUUAAUUAUGCAAUUAAUUUAAAUGCUAUUUUUUGAUUGGAUGAUAGAAAUGGACACAGAUUGCUAAUGAGGAGCAUUGAUCAAUUUGAAUUGAUGGCCUGGAUCAAAUCAAAGAAACACACCAAGAAGCACAUACUAUUUUAAAUAGAUUAAAAUGCAUAUAAUGUCUUUUUUUAAUGAUUUAAUUGAUUUAGAACAAUUUAAACCAAUUGAAUCAAAUAAAAUUCUCAACUUCUAAAAUGAGUAUGAAUAAAACAAAAUAAGGACAUGGAAAAUUCUAUUUAUUUAAUCUGAAUAUUUUGACGAAAGAAUAAAAUUAAAAUGACUAAAAAUGAAUAAAAGUCGGGCGAAAAUUUGCUCGAAAAAUUAAAUCGGAUGCAUGAAAAUGAUCAGUGAGGAAUAUACUUAUUGAAAAAAUGCAGUGUUUCUUUAAAUUUUGAAAUAAAUUUUCAUCGGUUAAAAGGCUCAGGCGGGUCAAAAUGAAACUGAAACAGUCGCUGAAGUGGUGGCUCAUGAUUUUUCAGUGACGAAACUAUAUCUUGAAGUGGUGGCUUGGCGACCUCGUGGCGAUUUGCCCACUGUAGCAGACGAUGCAUUUGGAAUUUGCGUGAGGGUUUGCGGAUGAAUAAUGGUAUGUCGUUGUGUUGUUUUAUAUAGGUGGAGGUUGGUUAGAUUGUGAGUGUUAGAUCGAUGAGAAGAUGAUGUAAGGUGGUGAGUAUGCACUUUGCAGAUGGAGGGAGAAGUUUGUGGUUUGUGUGUUGUUGGAACUUGGAAUGAAGUAGCAGGAGGUUUUGUUCUUUUGAAGGGAAGAAGAAAUGGUAUAUGGUAGAGAAUGAGGGACUUGGAUAUGAGAGAAAGAAAGAGUAUAACGUUGAAGAUGGAGUGGGGUGAAGGAAGAUUUUAUGAAGUUACAGCGGAGAGAGUUAUGUAAUGUGAGUGUGUAUGUGCCUCCACAAUGAAAACUCUUUUAUUUUUUUCUUUCAAAGCUCUGAGCUUCUUCUUUUUCUUGUUGCAGCAGAGAGAGGGACGUGAGGGAUAUCUUUUGUGUUUUUGUCCGUUAGAGUCUUUAUUAUUUUUCUUUUUGUCCUUUUUGGCUCAGAGAGAGACGUUGGAGUGUGAGAGAGUUUUCGUUUCUCUCCUUUCUGACCGUUGGCGAGUCCAAAAGAAGAAGAGAUAUUUUCAAUUUUCUUUAUUAAUUAUGCAAUUAAUUUAAAUGCUAUUUUUUGAUUGGAUGAUAGAAAUGGACACAGAUUGCUAAUGAGGAGCAUUGAUCAAUUUGAAUUGAUGGCCUGGAUCAAAUCAAAGAAACACACCAAGAAGCACAUACUAUUUUAAAUAGAUUAAAAUGCAUAUAAUGUCUUUUUUUAAUGAUUUAAUUGAUUUAGAACAAUUUAAACCAAUUGAAUCAAAUAAAAUUCUCAACUUCUAAAAUGAGUAUGAAUAAAACAAAAUAAGGACAUGGAAAAUUCUAUUUAUUUAAUCUGAAUAUUUUGACGAAAGAAUAAAAUUAAAAUGACUAAAAAUGAAUAAAAGUCGGGCGAAAAUUUGCUCGAAAAAUUAAAUCGGAUGCAUGAAAAUGAUCAGUGAGGAAUAUACUUAUUGAAAAAAUGCAGCGUUUCUUUAAAUUUUGAAAUAAAUUUUCAUCGGUUAAAAGGCUCAGGCGGGUCAAAAUGCAUUUGAAAGAGUCGUUGAAGUGGUGGCUCAUGAUUUUUCGGUGACGAAACUGUAUCUUGAAGUGGAGGCUUGGCGACCUCGUGGCGAUUUGCCCACUGUAGCAGACGAUGCAUUUGGAAUUUGCGUGAGGAUUGCGUCAGGGUUUGCGGAUGAAUAAUGGUAUGUCGUUGUGUUGUUUUAUGUAGGUGGAGGUUGGUUAGAUUGUGAGUGUUAGAUCGAUGAGAAGAUGAUGUAAGGUGGUGAGUAUGCACUUUGCAGAUGGAGGGAGAAGUUUGUAGUUUGUGUGUUUUUGGAACAUGGAAUGAAGUAGCAGGAGGUUUUGUUCUUUUGAAGGGAAGAAGAAAUGGUAUAUGGUAGAGAGUGAGGGACUUGGAUAUGAGAGAAAGAAAAAGUAUAACGUUGAAGAUGGAGUGGGGUGAAGGAAGAUUUUAUGAAGUUACAACGGAGAGAGUUAUGUAAUGUGAGUGUGUAUGUGCCUCCACAAUUAAAACUCUUUUAUUUUUUUUCUUUCAAAGCUCUGAGCUUCUUCUUUUUCUUGUUGCAUCAGAGACAGGGACGUGAGGGAUAUCUUUUGUGUUUUUGUCCGUUAGUGUCUUUAUUAUUUUUCUUUUUGUCCUUU